Molecule: ribosomal RNA, 803 nt
Filed under: Salmonella enterica subsp. enterica serovar Enteritidis
Lineage: Bacteria; Pseudomonadati; Pseudomonadota; Gammaproteobacteria; Enterobacterales; Enterobacteriaceae
Description: partial 23S ribosomal RNA
Rfam family: Bacterial large subunit ribosomal RNA
Source: RNAcentral
AGACCCGAAACCCGGUGAUCUAGCCAUGGGCAGGUUGAAGGUUGGGUAACACUAACUGGAGGACCGAACCGACUAAUGUUGAAAAAUUAGCGGAUGACCUGUGGCUGGGGGUGAAAGGCCAAUCAAACCGGGAGAUAGCUGGUUCUCCCCGAAAGCUAUUUAGGUAGCGCCUCGUGAAUUCAUCUCCGGGGGUAGAGCACUGUUUCGGCUAGGGGGCCAUCCCGGCUUACCAACCCGAUGCAAACUGCGAAUACCGGAGAAUGUUAUCACGGGAGACACACGGCGGGUGCUAACGUCCGUCGUGAAGAGGGAAACAACCCAGACCGCCAGCUAAGGUCCCAAAGUCAUGGUUAAGUGGGAAACGAUGUGGGAAGGCCCAGACAGCCAGGAUGUUGGCUUAGAAGCAGCCAUCAUUUAAAGAAAGCGUAAUAGCUCACUGGUCGAGUCGGCCUGCGCGGAAGAUGUAACGGGGCUAAACCAUGCACCGAAGCUGCGGCAGCGACACUGUGUGUUGUUGGGUAGGGGAGCGUUCUGUAAGCCUGCGAAGGUGGCCUGUGAGGGUUGCUGGAGGUAUCAGAAGUGCGAAUGCUGACAUAAGUAACGAUAAAGCGGGUGAAAAGCCCGCUCGCCGGAAGACCAAGGGUUCCUGUCCAACGUUAAUCGGGGCAGGGUGAGUCGACCCCUAAGGCGAGGCCGAAAGGCGUAGUCGAUGGGAAACGGGUUAAUAUUCCCGUACUUGGUGUUACUGCGAAGGGGGGACGGAGAAGGCUAUGUUGGCCGGGCGACGGUUGUCCCGGUUUAAG